GGAGUGAAGCUGCGCUCUGCUCUACUGGAGGAUCCACACUGUAAACUGAAGAAACUACUUAUUUGACAGUGGAAACUCCACAAGCUCCAAACAACUCAAUCAAAACAACACGUCUUGAACAAGACUGUCACCUGGACAUUAAAAUGCAUAAUUUCAGUUAGGGUGAAGAAAAGCUUUUUGUUUUUCUUCUAAGGCCACAAGAGGGCGCAUCGAGCAAAAUAUUACUAAUACACGUUUAUUCAAAGCAUAAGAAAACAUGACUGUAACCCACCAUAAAUUCUUGAGAUAUGUUUUUAAAAUGUUGAACUUAGAUUAAUUUUACAUGGCUAUCUAAACAUGUGGCUCUGUUGUGCAAUAUCCUGAUAAUUCACCUCCAGAGGACGAGAGAAGCUGUUGCUGAGAUCAGAAACACUGACGGAUGAGAUUCAACUCUUUCCUUCGUACCAGCAGAGAGUCGCCUCUGUCACAUUCAUCACUGAACACAGCAGGAUGAACACAUUUCCAGCUCCAUGAUUGUUCAGAGUUUCUGACAAUAGUGAGAAUGGACAGAGGAGCUGGAAACACAUGAGAAUAAACAGAAAUAUUACUGAGAGGAAGAUCAAGAUGAAAUACAGGUGGUAAAGUGUGUCUAUGCAGCAGCAAAUCUGAAUGUAGAGUUUAAUAAUGAACUGAAUACAACAAUACUAGUCAAUAUAUCAGUGUCUAAUAAACAUUUGCAGUCAAAACUA
Long non-coding RNA from Carassius auratus (goldfish), 728 nucleotides. RefSeq lists it as uncharacterized. Lineage: Eukaryota; Metazoa; Chordata; Actinopteri; Cypriniformes; Cyprinidae. The record is from RefSeq and is a predicted model, not a curated record. The transcript is spliced from 2 exons.